UCUAGUUUAUCCUGCUAGAGGCUGCGGCUCUUUGGUUUGGGUUAAGCCAUGCAAGUUCCUCGAAAGAGUGCGAACCGCUCAGUAACACGUAGCUAAUCUAACCUAAAGCCCGGAAUACCCUCGCGAAAGUGAGGCUAAGACCGGAUAGGGCAUGGAUUCUGGAAUGAGUCAUGCUUUAAACGCAAGGUUUUAGGACGAGGCUGCGGCUGAUUAGGCUGUUGGCGGGGUAAAUGCCCACCAAACCGAUUAUCAGUAGGGGCUCUUAGCGGAGUUGCCCCGAGAAGGAUCCUGAGACACUGAUCCUAGCUCUACGGAGUGCAGCAGGCGCGAAAAUUCUGCAAUGCCCGCAAGGGUGACAGAGCAAGCCAAAGUGUUCUCUCGCAAGAGAGAACUUUUCUAUGUUGUAAAAAGACAUAGGAAUAAGGACUGGGCAAGACUGGUGCCAGCCGCCGCGGUAAUCCCAGCAGUCCAAGUCGUGGCCACAAUUAUUGGGUCUAAAACAUUCGUAGCCUGUUCGGAAAGUCUCUUGUGAAAUCGUUUCGCUUAACGAAACGGCGUGCUGGAGAUACUACCGGACUUGAGACCGGGAGGCGUGAGAGGUACAUCUGAAGUAGUAGUAAAAUAUGUUAAUCUCAGGUGGACCAACAAUGGCGAAGGCAUCUCGCGAGAACGGAUCUGACGGUGAGGAAUGAAGGCUAGGGGCGCGAAACGGAUUAGAUACCCGUGUAGUCCUAGCAGUAAACACUGCGUACUAAACAUCGUGUUCUCCUUGAGAGAAUGCGGUGCUGUAGGGAAGCCGAAGAGUACGCUACCUGGGAAGUAUAGCCGCAAGGCCGAAACUUAAAGGAAUUGGCGGGGGAGCACUACCAGGGGUGACGCGUGCGGUUCAAUUAGAUUCUACACCGUGAACCUCACCAGGAGCGACAGCAGAAUGAAGGUCAGUCUGAAGGGCUUACCUGACACGCUGAGAGGAGUUGCAUGGCCGUCGUCAGCCUGUGCCGUGAGGUGACCAGUUAAAUCUGGUAACAGGCGAGACCUACAUUUGCAGUUGCUACGGCAAGAGCACACUGCAGAGACUGCGUCCGUAAGGACGAGGAAGGUGUAGGCAACGAUAGGUGAGUACGGCCCGAAUCCCCUGGGCUACACGCGCGCGGCAAUGGUAGAGGCAGUGAGAUGCAACUCCGAAAGGAGAAGCCAAUCCCAUAAUCUCUAUCCCAGUCCAGAUUGAAGGCUGAAACCUGCCUUCAUGACGCUGGAAUCCCUAGUAAUCGUUCUUUAGCAGAGAACGGUGAAUUAGUCCCCGCUCCUUGCACACACCGCCCGUCAAACCAACCGAGUUAUGCUUUGGUGAAGUUCGCAAGAAAAGAACCUCGGUAUGACAAGGUAGGUUAAGUCGUCACAAGGUA
Molecule: ribosomal RNA, 1406 nt
Filed under: metagenome
Description: bacterial SSU rRNA
Rfam family: Archaeal small subunit ribosomal RNA
Source: RNAcentral